CCCUUAGAUGUUCUGGGCUGCACGCGCGCUACACUGAAGCGUUCAACGAGUAUUCACCUUGCCCGGGAGGGUUGGGUAAUCUUUUGAAAACGCUUCGUGAUGGGGAUAGAUUAUUGCAAUUAUUAAUCUUCAACGAGGAAUUCCUAGUAAGCGCGAGUCAUCAGCUCGUGCUGAUUACGUCCCUGCCCUUUGUACACACCGCCCGUCGCUCCUACCGAUUGAGCGAUCCGGUGAAUAAUUCGGACUGCAGCACUGCUUGGUCUCCAGGCUUUGCAGCGGAAAGUUUAGUGAACCUUAUCACUUAGAGGAAGGAGAANUCGUANCA
RNAcentral lists this ribosomal RNA (325 nucleotides) under uncultured eukaryote. RNAcentral describes it as "partial 18S ribosomal RNA". It matches the Rfam family "Eukaryotic small subunit ribosomal RNA", at positions 1470 to 1796 of the family's 1831-position model. The record is from RNAcentral.